Molecule: ribosomal RNA, 412 nt
Filed under: Althepus qingyuani
Lineage: Eukaryota; Metazoa; Arthropoda; Arachnida; Araneae; Ochyroceratidae
Description: partial 16S ribosomal RNA
Rfam family: Bacterial large subunit ribosomal RNA
Source: RNAcentral
CCUGCUCAAUGAAAUAUUUUCAAUAGCCGCUAUUCUAUAGUGCUAAGGUAGCACAAUCACUUGUCUUUUAAUUUAAGAAUAGAAUGAAUGGAUAAACGAGUUAAAACCUUUAUUUAAUUUACAUUAUAAAACUUUUAUAAAAGUAAAAAAACUUUUUAUUAAAGAUUAGACGACAAGACCCUUUAGAACUUUACUUUAAGUUCAGCUGGGGUGGCUUAAAUUACUUAUAAAAACUACACUUCCUAAUACAAACAUCAUAAUAAAAAUAUAACAAGUUACCUAAGGGAUAACAGUAUAAUAAUAUUUUAAAACACAUAUAACAAAUAACGAUUAUAACCUCGAUGUUGAAUUACUUCUCUAUUAAAAGAAAUCUUUUAAAAAGUAAGUCUGUUCGACUUUUAAUAAAGUACAU